This is a long non-coding RNA of Herpailurus yagouaroundi (jaguarundi), 1363 nucleotides long. RefSeq lists it as uncharacterized. The record is from RefSeq and is a predicted model, not a curated record. The transcript is spliced from 6 exons. NCBI's taxonomy places the organism in Eukaryota, Metazoa, Chordata, Mammalia, Carnivora, Felidae.
GGGGGCUAUGGGUAGCAGAAUGGUGUAGGGGUCUUCAAACAAUAAUGGCUUGGGGGAAAGGCCAUGUGAGAACACAGAGAGAAGGGGCCAUCUCUGACCCAGGACUAGUACUCCCCAGAACCUGACCUUGCUGCCUUCCUGAUUUUGGACUUUGAGCUUCCAGAACUGAGAUGCCAUCUAGAAACAAGGCAAGAUAAAGCAGUUCCUCAUCUGUUUUAUGCUAUUCUGACUGGGGGAAGUAUGCAUUCCUUUCUUUCCUCCAGUGAAAAUAUGUGGAGUGUGCAGGGAAGAGUCCAUAUCCAGUUUUGAUUUGCCCACAAAGAAGUGGCAGGUGUUAAUCAACUAACUCACGAAAUCAAGAAGCCAAAGGCAAGUUUUUGUUUUUAAUCUGCCACCACGGACCCAUGCAAGUGACUGAAAAAAGCCAUCUGGCAGAAUCAGAGCUCUUGCCAUCUCCCUAAGAUUAUUCGAUUUAUUCUUGUCAGGAUUAAUUUACUAAACCCAUGCUGGAUUUUUUAUUUAGAUGAUAUUGUUGGUUUGUCAUGCACUGCAGAUCUACACGGGAGGCACCACAGGGGACUGCGCUUGCUUCUGAACAAUGUUGGGCUCAAAUUGGAAAAAUGUCACUUUGGCGGGAACAAAUUAUUGUUCCGAUCGCUCCUCGUAGAGCUGGUGUCUCCGGAUGGGCUCCGACCUGACCUUUUCCGAACCAGAGUAGUCGACCUCCUGGAAGAUCCCCAGCACUUCCACUGAUGGGUUCUUGUGCAUAAUUAAGGGAUUCAUCCGGAAACAUAUGAACCAGAGGGAAGAUGAAGGAAGAAGCCCAACCGGCCACUGAUACAAAUACACAAGACAGAAGCCGCAAGAACCAGUCUACCUUGCUUCAAAUCCUACCUCUGCCCCUUAAUAGCUCUGUGACUUCAUGAGGCAACUUAUCUGUGUCCUCAGUUUCCAUAUUUCAGAAAAUGGAAGAAAUGUCAGUCCAGAUACCAUCAGGCUGGUGUUAGUAUAAACAAAAAACUUGCCUCACUGUGCCCCCUCAACCUGAAUCACUCUCCCUCUGCUGACCCAACUACCUGCUUACCAAAGCUCAUUUCACCUCCUACUCUGCUCUGCUACUCGGGAACACACUGCUCUCUUCGGGACCAUGCUCUCUACUGCAGGACUGAUUUCACCUGGAUAUUUCCAGUAUACUUUAUACAUGCCUGUCUCUUCCAUGACAUUAUCAGCUCCUCAAAGGCAAGGGUACCAAAAUCAACAACUAGCUUUCUUCCAAAAACGUAAUUCUUAGUGAUAAAAUAUAUAUAAUUAUUAUAAAUAUACAUAUAAUAUAUACUAUAUAAAUAAAAUACAAAAUAUAAAA